This 534-nucleotide ribosomal RNA is filed under the name uncultured bacterium. RNAcentral describes it as "bacterial SSU rRNA". It matches the Rfam family "Bacterial small subunit ribosomal RNA", at positions 8 to 526 of the family's 1533-position model. The record is from RNAcentral.
AGGGUUUGAUCAUGGCUCAGGACGAACGCUGGCGGCGUGCCUAAUACAUGCAAGUAGAACGCUGAAGGAGGAGCUUGCUUCUCUGGAUGAGUUGCGAACGGGUGAGUAACGCGUAGGUAACCUGCCUGGUAGCGGGGGAUAACUAUUGGAAACGAUAGCUAAUACCGCAUAAUAGUAGUUGUUGCAUGACAACUGUUUGAAAGGUGCAAUUGCAUCACUACCAGAUGGACCUGCGUUGUAUUAGCUAGUUGGUGGGGUAACGGCUCACCAAGGCGACGAUACAUAGCCGACCUGAGAGGGUGAUCGGCCACACUGGGACUGAGACACGGCCCAGACUCCUACGGGAGGCAGCAGUAGGGAAUCUUCGGCAAUGGACGGAAGUCUGACCGAGCAACGCCGCGUGAGUGAAGAAGGUUUUCGGAUCGUAAAGCUCUGUUGUAAGAGAAGAACGAGUGUGAGAGUGGAAAGUUCACACUGUGACGGUAUCUUACCAGAAAGGGACGGCUAACUACGUGCCAGCCGCCGCGGUAAUAC